CACACCAUGGGAGUUGAUUGCACCAGAAGUAGGUAGCCUAACCGCAAGGGGGGCGCUUACCACGGUGUGGUCAAUGACUGGGGUGAAGUCGUAACAAGGUACC
Molecule: ribosomal RNA, 103 nt
Filed under: uncultured bacterium
Lineage: Bacteria
Description: partial 16S ribosomal RNA
Rfam family: Bacterial small subunit ribosomal RNA
Source: RNAcentral